UCGGGAAUUUUGGGCAAUGGGCGAAAGCCUGACCCAGCAACGCCGCGUGAAGGAUGAAAUCCCUCGGGAUGUAAACUUCGCAAGAACGGGAAGAAUAAGUUGGUGUGAAUAUCACCAGCGAUGACGGUACCGUUUGUAAGCUCCGGCUAACUCCGUG
RNAcentral lists this ribosomal RNA (157 nucleotides) under uncultured bacterium. Its description in RNAcentral is "partial 16S ribosomal RNA". It matches the Rfam family "Bacterial small subunit ribosomal RNA", at positions 355 to 507 of the family's 1533-position model. The record is from RNAcentral.